Non-coding RNA from Podarcis lilfordi (Lilford's wall lizard), 320 nucleotides. NCBI's taxonomy places the organism in Eukaryota, Metazoa, Chordata, Lepidosauria, Squamata, Lacertidae. The record is from the annotation of a GenBank genome assembly.
GGAUGUGAGGAUGAUCUGGCUGCAACAUCUGUCACCUCAUUGAUCACCAGGGUUGAUUCGGCUGAUCUGGCUGGCUAGGCGGGUGUCCCAUUCUUUCCUCACCACUCCAUGUGCAUCCAUUCCAAAACUGUGCGCUUGGUGGAGGAUGACGACCACCACAGAUGGAAGGAGUAUACCGUUCUGUGGUCAAGGCUAUAUGAUAGCUGUGCUCCCCUGCUAGAACCUCCAAACUCCAGGGUCAAUCCAUGGCAAUUAAAAAGAAAAUGAUGUAGAGUGAUUAUGGGAAAGACUUGUUCCUGAUACCCUAGAAGUGUUGGUGG